UGGUAGUAAUGAUAAAAAGGUCGGAGUUACGGCUACUGCCAUUUGGUCGGUACUUGGUGGUAGAUUGAUGAAAGUUGGGUGAGGUAUUUUUUUGAGCCAG
This 100-nucleotide small nucleolar RNA is filed under the name Olea europaea subsp. europaea. RNAcentral's name for it is "Small nucleolar RNA snoR113". It matches the Rfam family "Small nucleolar RNA snoR113". Lineage: Eukaryota; Viridiplantae; Streptophyta; Magnoliopsida; Lamiales; Oleaceae. The record is from Rfam by way of RNAcentral.